AUGAGAAUAACCGAUUUGGUAGUG
Molecule: non-coding RNA, 24 nt
Filed under: Arabidopsis thaliana (thale cress)
Lineage: Eukaryota; Viridiplantae; Streptophyta; Magnoliopsida; Brassicales; Brassicaceae
Source: RNAcentral